This 231-nucleotide ribosomal RNA is filed under the name uncultured bacterium. RNAcentral describes it as "partial 16S ribosomal RNA". It matches the Rfam family "Bacterial small subunit ribosomal RNA", at positions 103 to 334 of the family's 1533-position model. The record is from RNAcentral.
CGAGUGAGUAACACGUAUCCAACCUGCCGUCUACUCUUGGACAGCCUUCUGAAAGGAAGAUUAAUACAAGAUGGCAUCAUGAGUCCGCAUGUUCACAUGAUUAAAGGUAUUCCGGUAGACGAUGGGGAUGCGUUCCAUUAGAUAGUAGGCGGGGUAACGGCCCACCUAGUCUUCGAUGGAUAGGGGUUCUGAGAGGAAGGUCCCCCACAUUGGAACUGAGACACGGUCCAA